RNAcentral lists this small nuclear RNA (345 nucleotides) under Sorex araneus (European shrew). Its description in RNAcentral is "7SK RNA (ENSSARG00000015988.1)". It matches the Rfam family "7SK RNA". Rfam says of the family: 7SK was discovered as an abundant small nuclear RNA in the mid-70s but a possible function has only recently been suggested. The record is from RNAcentral. Lineage: Eukaryota; Metazoa; Chordata; Mammalia; Eulipotyphla; Soricidae.
GGAUGUGAGGGCGAUCUGGCUGCGGCAUCUGUCAUGUCACCCCGUUGAUCAUCUGGUUGGAUUUGGCUGAUCUGGCUGACCAGGCGGGCGUCCCCUUCUUCCCUCACCACUCCAAAUGCGUCCCUCUGAAGCUGUCUGCUCAGCCGAAGAGGACGGCAUUCCCUGAAGAAAGACGACAGACCGUUCUUGGGUCGAGGGUAUGUGAGGGAAUACAAGUAGCUGCGCUCCUCUGCUUAGAACCUCAAUGAGCUCUCAAGGUCCGUUUGUAGGAGAACGUAGUGGAGUCAAGCUUCCAGACUCCAGACACAUCCAAAUGAAGUGCUGCACGUGGCAGUCUGCCUUUCU